UAAAAGGUAAGCUAAGUAAAGCUAUUGGGCUCAUACCUCACUUAUGAAAUUUUUAUUCCCUUUUAA
RNAcentral lists this transfer RNA (66 nucleotides) under Oncopodura yosiiana. RNAcentral's name for it is "tRNA-Met". The record is from RNAcentral. Lineage: Eukaryota; Metazoa; Arthropoda; Collembola; Entomobryomorpha; Oncopoduridae.